Molecule: transfer RNA, 95 nt
Filed under: Actinomycetospora sp. NBRC 106375
Lineage: Bacteria; Bacillati; Actinomycetota; Actinomycetes; Pseudonocardiales; Pseudonocardiaceae
Description: tRNA-Arg
Source: RNAcentral
GUCGUGCUGGUGCGCACCGGCCUGGUGCUCUCCCCCUCCGGCGGGCUGAUGGGGCGGAUCAAGCCGCUGUUCCAGUUCGGGCUCGGCGGGCGGCU